AGAUUGAACGCUGGCGGCAUGCCUUACACAUGCAAGUCGAACGGCAGCACGGGAGCAAUCCUGGUGGCGAGUGGCGAACGGGUGAGUAAUAUAUCGGAACGUGCCCAGUCGUGGGGGAUAACGCAGCGAAAGCUGUGCUAAUACCGCAUACGAUCUAUGGAUGAAAGCGGGGGAUCGCAAGACCUCGCGCGAUUGGAGCGGCCGAUAUCAGAUUAGCUAGUUGGUGGGGUAAAAGCCUACCAAGGCGACGAUCUGUAGCUGGUCUGAGAGGACGACCAGCCACACUGGAACUGAGACACGGUCCAGACUCCUACGGGAGGCAGCAGUGGGGAAUUUUGGACAAUGGGCGCAAGCCUGAUCCAGCAAUGCCGCGUGCAGGAUGAAGGCCUUGGUUGUAAACUGCUUUUGUACGGAACGAACGGUUCUCUCUAAUACAGGGCUAAGUGACGGUACCGUAAGAAUAAGACACCGGACUAACUACGUGUACG
Molecule: ribosomal RNA, 488 nt
Filed under: uncultured soil bacterium
Lineage: Bacteria
Description: bacterial SSU rRNA
Rfam family: Bacterial small subunit ribosomal RNA
Source: RNAcentral